UUCUCUCUCUCUCUCUCUCUAACAAAUUCUCUCCCUUCUCUCUAGAACCUUCUGGUUCCUUCUCCGAUGAAGUUCGUCUCCUCUCCGGCCAUACUCCUCCCUCACUUCUCUCGAUCUCUAGUUACCAUGGAACCCUCAUCUCGUUGUUUCUUUCUAAAGUUUGAAGCCCAGAAAACUUCGUCCAUGAAAGUUGGUGGUUGAAGCUUUGGCUUGGGUCUGUUGCCGGCCUUUCUUCGGUGGGUGUUUGUCCGAUGAUGCCUUAUAUGGCAUUAUAAACGAGUUUCACGGCCGGUUUCUCAUUUUCCUAAUUUAUUUUGCAAACCCUAAUUUUUGCCUAAAUCUCUUUAAUCUCUGCCUUUUCGAACGAUUUUCAGUUUAAUCUUUUUGUUCUACACUACUUUUCACUCGAUAUUUCCGAUUAAUUCAAGUUUUCCAACAUUUUUCUCUUUUUCAAAGCUAGGGUUUCCAAACCUCUUUCAAAAUCGCUAUAUCUUCUGAUUUUUCUUGAGUAUUAUAUGGUUAUGUUUGUGUUAUGUGUUUGUCUGUGUCACCUUCUGGUUACUCCAAGUUCCAU
RNAcentral lists this long non-coding RNA (574 nucleotides) under Nicotiana benthamiana. RNAcentral describes it as "long non-coding RNA (NBEN_LNC014364)". Lineage: Eukaryota; Viridiplantae; Streptophyta; Magnoliopsida; Solanales; Solanaceae. The record is from RNAcentral.